GUUCCUGUGGCGCAGUGGCUAGCGCGCCGUUCUUAUAUUCGAUCGUCAGAUCAAUAUGGCCUCAUUUGGUUAUGCGGAUGUCGUGGGUUCGACCCCCACCAGGAACA
Molecule: non-coding RNA, 107 nt
Organism: Periconia macrospinosa
Lineage: Eukaryota; Fungi; Ascomycota; Dothideomycetes; Pleosporales; Periconiaceae
Source: the annotation of a GenBank genome assembly